UUCACCCAUAUUUCGUACCUGUUGGUUCCAAAUGUUCUUGCUGUUCAGUUUGGCUUACCUCAGGACAUCUAUUUUUGCAGUAGUGAAGCGGUGCAUCACGUUCAUGCACAAAAAGAAUGCAUCAAUUCUAAUAGCUUCACGUCUUUCAUCUAUUUGCUUGUGAAAUCAGCAGUGUGAUCUCUUCUAGUGUAUAAACGAGCGCACAAAUGUUCUUAUUUGUGAUCUUAAUAAUACUUAAGCUGUUGACAUGCAUUGUAGUUACGCAGACAUCGAUUUUACGGAGAGUAACCAUAUUUAUUUACCAUGCUGCUUAAGCGCCCUAGAACAAACAGUGUACAUUUGCAUGUGUUCUGUAGUCACAAACCGUUGCAAUGUAUAUGUCGCACCGUUUCGCAUUUUAUAUUGCAAAAUUGUGCUUAUUCAAUUUCUGAUGCAGUCAAAAUUUCUGUUCCAGACAUGCAGUAAUGCGGAUGGCACCAGUAUAAAGCAACACACUCCAUGCACUAAACAGAAGCUGCUGCCUGCUACAACAAGGUCAUUGUGUGGACUUUGGCUGCUACUACAAGAGUCUGUGCCAAGUACAUCUUGGUCAUCACGGGAGCCCCCAUCUACACCAACAGGAAGGGGCUGGAGCUGAAUUCACAAGACCACGAACAAAGAAGCCAUUCCAGAAUUAUUUGGAUGAGAUAUCAAGUCUACGGAUGACUGUUUCAAGAGUGAAAAGAGCCUACGCCAUCAUUCCACCAGCACGGAUAUUGGCCGAGUCAUCCAGGUACCUCAACAACAAAAAUUAUUUGUCUUCAGAUGUACCUGCAACCUCUGAACAAGCACAGACGACGCUGGCUAAGAGUGUUCUGUCAGCUUGCCCUUCCUUAGGGAGCUCCCUGGCCUUGCCAAUUCUUGCCAAGUAUAAUUUUGUUUCAAUGAAUGCACGCUUCUUCAUUCCACACUUUUGUUAGAGAUCAUUCCUAUUCCUCAUACAAACAUUAAAGGUCAACCGAUUCUUUGCUCAUA
This is a long non-coding RNA of Dermacentor albipictus, 1014 nucleotides long. RefSeq lists it as uncharacterized. The record is from RefSeq and is a predicted model, not a curated record. Lineage: Eukaryota; Metazoa; Arthropoda; Arachnida; Ixodida; Ixodidae.